AGACCGCUGAUCAUGCUUAGAGGGAGGGAAAGAAAGAGGUGUGACACCCAGUUGGUAACAAAUCUACGCUUUGCUGCCCUUCGUGGGCUGUUUGUCAGAGGUUCUGUUGGAAAGAGAUUUUAAUACAUGCGAUGGAACAAAAAUCCAGUCUUUCUAUGCAGAAACUAAAAAAAUAAUUCUAAAAUUCAGCUGAAGCUUAUCUUCCAAGUAUUUGUAGUACAAUAUUUCUUCGUGUUACUCUUCCUACACUGCAUGGCUAAUGUCCAAAGAGACACACAGAGAGAAC
Etheostoma cragini (Arkansas darter) is the source of this 286-nucleotide long non-coding RNA. RefSeq lists it as uncharacterized. The record is from RefSeq and is a predicted model, not a curated record. The transcript has 2 exons. Lineage: Eukaryota; Metazoa; Chordata; Actinopteri; Perciformes; Percidae.